CGCGAAACCACAACACCAUCCUGCAACGGAGCACCACCAAGCAAGGGUACAGAGACAGGGAGGAUUAUCAGUAGGCCAUGCCACACCCCAAUCUGAAUGGACAUGUGAUACAGUGCUCUCUAAAGGAACACCCAACAGAACGUGAAAAAGUGGCCACAGAAGUGGAGGAUCAACAGAAACAAGUGCUACAGAAAAGUGAGCACAAAAUACAACCAGAGGAAGAAGUCGUGUUAAGGCCGAGACUCAGAAGUCUCACUUGGAAUCGCCCUAACAUGAAUGAAGACAAGGCUUCUGUUGAUUUGAAGAACACAGAGGAUCUCAACCAAGGAUAAUAUCAUAAUUGAUUCAGACACCAGAAUGUCUUACUGAUUGGUAUUGAAAUGCAGUCAGCAAAACAACAAGAAAACAAAACUUCUUUUCUA
This is a long non-coding RNA of Colossoma macropomum (tambaqui), 422 nucleotides long. RefSeq lists it as uncharacterized. The transcript has 3 exons. Lineage: Eukaryota; Metazoa; Chordata; Actinopteri; Characiformes; Serrasalmidae. The record is from RefSeq and is a predicted model, not a curated record.